Molecule: long non-coding RNA, 196 nt
Organism: Pelobates fuscus (common spadefoot toad)
Lineage: Eukaryota; Metazoa; Chordata; Amphibia; Anura; Pelobatidae
Exons: 3
Source: RefSeq, a predicted model, not a curated record
ACCAGGCAUUCCAGGCACUCUCCCUGCUGGCACUGCUGUGGACGGCUAUGAGUCCCCCCACUGCGAUCGCCGGCAUGGGAUCGCCGGCAACCGGGUCCAGCACUAAACGGGACUAGGCUUGUUCCUUUUUCUAGGACCAAACCAAUAUUUAGGACCAAGGAUUUGUUUGUUCAGUCUGCACAAAAAAACAACCGGG